UUUCUUUGUAGCUCAAUGGUAGAGCAAAUGGCUGUUAACCAUUAGGUUGUAGGUUCAAAUCCUAUCAAAGAAGU
Molecule: transfer RNA, 74 nt
Filed under: Phytophthora cactorum
Lineage: Eukaryota; Oomycota; Peronosporomycetes; Peronosporales; Peronosporaceae
Also listed under: 1 other name
Description: tRNA-Asn
Rfam family: tRNA
About the family: Transfer RNA (tRNA) molecules are approximately 80 nucleotides in length. Their secondary structure includes four short double-helical elements and three loops (D, anti-codon, and T loops).
Source: RNAcentral